UACGUAGGGGGCAAGCGUUGUCCGGAUUCAUUGGGCGUAAAGAGCGUGUAGGCGGCCAGGUAGGUCGGUUGUGAAAACUGGAGGCUCAACCUUCAGAGGUCGACCGAAACCAUCUGGCUAGAGUCCGGGAGAGGAGAGUGGAAUUCCUGGUGUAGUGGUGAAAUGCGUAGAGAUCGGCAGGAACACCCAGGGGGAAACCAGUCGACUGGGCAUCUACUGACGCUGAGGUGCGAGAGCGUGGGGAGCGAACCGG
This 253-nucleotide ribosomal RNA is filed under the name uncultured bacterium. RNAcentral describes it as "partial 16S ribosomal RNA". It matches the Rfam family "Bacterial small subunit ribosomal RNA", at positions 524 to 776 of the family's 1533-position model. The record is from RNAcentral.